GUGGGGAAUCUUGGACAAUGGGGGCAACCCUGAUCCAGCCAUGCCGCGUGAACGAUGAAGGCCUUAGGGUUGUAAAGUUCUUUCAGCUGGGAAGAUAAUGACGGUACCAGCAGAAGAAGCCCCGGCUAACUCCGUGCCAGCAGCCGCGGUAAUACGGAGGGGGCUAGCGUUGUUCGGAAUUACUGGGCGUAAAGCGCACGUAGGCGGAUAGUUAAGUCGGGGGUGAAAUCCCGGGGCUCAACCCCGGAACUGCCUUCGAUACUGGCUGUCUAGAGAUCGAGAGAGGUGAGUGGAAUUCCGAGUGUAGAGGUGAAAUUCGUAGAUAUUCGGAGGAACACCAGUGGCGAAGGCGGCUCACUGGCUCGAUACUGACGCUGAGGUGCGAAAGCGUGGGGAGCAAACAGGAUUAGAUACCCCAGUAGUCC
This 425-nucleotide ribosomal RNA is filed under the name uncultured Paracoccaceae bacterium. Its description in RNAcentral is "bacterial SSU rRNA". It matches the Rfam family "Bacterial small subunit ribosomal RNA", at positions 354 to 796 of the family's 1533-position model. Lineage: Bacteria; Pseudomonadati; Pseudomonadota; Alphaproteobacteria; Rhodobacterales; Paracoccaceae. The record is from RNAcentral.